This 478-nucleotide ribosomal RNA is filed under the name uncultured bacterium. RNAcentral's name for it is "partial 16S ribosomal RNA". It matches the Rfam family "Bacterial small subunit ribosomal RNA", at positions 28 to 523 of the family's 1533-position model. The record is from RNAcentral.
GACGAACGCUGGCGGCGUGCUUAACACAUGCAAGUCGAACGGUAAGGCCCUUCGGGGUACACGAGUGGCGAACGGGUGAGUAACACGUGGGUGAUCUGCCCUGCACUUCGGGAUAAGCCUGGGAAACUGGGUCUAAUACCGGAUAGGACCACUGCCUGCAUGGGUGGUGGUGGAAAGCUUUUGCGGUGUGGGAUGGGCCCGCGGCCUAUCAGCUUGUUGGUGGGGUGAUGGCCUACCAAGGCGACGACGGGUAGCCGGCCUGAGAGGGUGACCGGCCACACUGGGACGGAGAUCCCGCCCAGACUCCUACGGGGGGCAGCAGUGGGGGAUGUUGCACAAUGGGCGCAAGCCUGAUGCAGCGACGCCGCGUGAGGGAUGACGGCCUUCGGGUUGUAAACCUCUUUCAGCACUGACGAAGCGCAAGUGACGGUAGGUGCAGAAGAAGGACCGGCCAACUACGUGCCAGCCGCCGCAGUAA